AGGCACGAUAACAGAGCUAUCCAUACGGGCAGUGUCAGUAUUUUCAUGCUGACGACAAAAAUCUCCUGAACUAUUUACUCUUGAGAAGCCGGCACCUCUCCCAAGCACAGCAUUGCUGUGGUCGAUGUAUUCAUCUUCCAGACACCUGAAUAUGGAAAGGAAUGCAAAACACCCAGAAAAAGCAGAACCUGUCAGUCACCCCACAGCGGCUGUUGACAUCUGAAAGGAUGGAUGCAGAAUUCAAGCGCAGCCAUCUUCAUCCAGUCUCUCGUGUGCACAAUUUACAGAAGCAGCUGCUACCUGAGAAAUGAACAAAUAGCACUUCCAAAUACUCUUGGAAGAAACAAAGGCAUUUGAACCAUUUGCACAACAUAGAAGCUCUCCAGCGCAAGUUUUUAAAGGGCUGGAGGCUUGCUGGGGAAGCUUUGAGGAGAGGGAGUAAUAAAGAAAAGAGGGUUUUAUGAUGAAAGGUCGAAUGGGAAACUUUUAUUGGAGGGGCUUGGCCAGCUCCUCAUCCCAUGGGGGAAAGGAGGAGGAAUUUGAAUGUGGUGUUUUUGCUUUUGGAAGGUCAAAGCUAUUCCAUGCAACUGCAAAGCAGCAUAAAAGAAAUACACUUAUUCCUCUGUCAUGUCUGUCAAAAAUGGAGGAGGGGAGGAAGUCCCAAACACUACAUUUCAACAAAGCCCUGAAGGUAAAAAUGAUCCGCUGGCUUGAAAUUUAUCUUAAUGAGCAAAAUCCAGCCAAUGGAACAGGGUGCAGAUGAAAGUGACAGAUGGGAUCAUUUAAAGUUUGAUUCUUUGCAUGAAAGAAAACAUUUUCAAUAACUUAUUUUUCUUCUGUUUGUUACAGUGUUCUGUUUAGUGUCACAGCCUCCAAUUGGCAGUCCCAGCUCUUUGGCAGAUUAAUUUAUCUGGGGUCAUAUCCUCAGUUUUUGAAAAUUCAGAGUUUGAGGGAGCUCCUGGAACUCCUCAGCUCACAUAAGCAUGUGGAGCUGGUCCAACAGUCAGUGGCAAGUCUCUCCAGCCAAGAGAUUUUUGCUAGAUAGGGACUGAGACCCCAAGUCUGAAGCUGUCCAAGAUCAGUCUGCUAAGAGUAUGAACAGUCAUCAAUCAGGUAGUCUGGAAGAGUAUACAGAAGUGUUUCAAUUUGUUCCCAAGUAUUUUCAGACACAAACAACUACAAGGAUUUACCACUGCUAUAUAAAAAUAUAGUCUGGGACCUAGUCAGGUUCAUAAAAGUUCUGUGAAGCUGGAGGAUGCAUUUCCUUGUAGGAGAUGUGCUGAAUUUUGAUGCUGAGAGGUGCUGUUGUACACUCCUUAGAGCACAGCAUCAUACUGUUACAUGUCACUUAUCCUUAACAGGGGAAGAUAGGCAGGAGAAGGAAUGGAAUCAGUCCUAUGCAAUAAAAUAAUUGCUGUCUUCACCAUUUCCUUGCACAGGUAAUUCAUGUUGCUGUAAUGUACUGUAAUGCAGCAUCGGUACAGCAUGGUGCAUACGCAACAUCAGCAGACCCUGCCACCCUCGGCUGAGCAGGAACAAAAGCAUUAACCCUCUCUCCUCUGUCCACUUAUUUCCCGAUUAGAUCAAUUAGCAGUUAACAAAGGUCCAAGACAAGGAAGAGGUCAUCUGUUAGCUCCUCUUAUUUAAGCAUUCUUUGGUGAGAUUUUACAAAACAGAAGGCAAAUGCUCGAUUGUGCAACUCCCCAGCCUGGAGGACAAAUUGCUCCAGUUGGCACCAGGGGGAAGAGGGGAAGCUAGGGCUGUGGUGGGGCUGCUGCUGGUCCCCAGCCACCCCUCCUGGGGCCCUGCAGCAUCCCAAACCUACCUCAAACUGCUGAGCAGGAGGCUCGGACAGAGAAGGGGCAGUCUGCACUGCUCACCAGCCAGAGGGGUGACUGCAGCACAGAGUGGGUACCAUCUCUAGCAGCUCCUCAAAAUACAACUCUCUUGUCCAGGGCGAGGUUGGACCUGACCAGGGGUUGCUAACUGCACGUGCCCUCCCUGCCAUGCUGCUCAGUCAGCUAGGAAGAGAAGAAAGUCAUUGCAAGGAAUUUCUUCAGCUGUAUUCCAACAGCAGAUUAAAAUAGCUGCUACUAUUUUAAUCUGGAGAAGUGGCAGCUACUGCACAUGCAGGACUGGCAGCAAGCUUGUCUCCCACAAAGUCGGGAUUCAAAGAGUGUUCUGUGUCUAUGAUAAUGCAACCACAGGGUGUAGCCAGCAGACCAGCCCUGGUAAAACAUGGCCCUGGGACCAUCUGACCCAACUGGCUAGAAUUUGGGAUCAGGAGGAAGAAAUUCAAGCUUCCUGUUUUUUUUUUAUUUGUUUUUUUCCUUUUAGUUAUUGCAAAGUGUUGUAAUACUGAAAACCCUAAACAUUCUCAGGAAGCAACAAGACAGUGUUGUGCUCAAUAUUCUGUAUUUACAUACAACUCAGCCAAGGUUUGUUUGCUGAAAUGUGUGUGGUAACAUCCAGAUUUUAAAUACUGAUUUUUAUUUUAUUCCAGAAGUUUCAGUGUAAUAUGGCAUGAAUAUUCUGUUUCCUUGUGGAUUUGUGAUGGCAGAGGAGGAAGACAGAGAGAAAGGUAACUGCAAGAACCCAUCUGUGGAAAUUUGAGACCUUCCUGUGAUUUUUUGCUUCUGCAUGUGAUCCCCUCUCAGGCAGGUUAAUCCCCCAAGACUGUGGUGCCUGAAUUCAGCAUCAGUUUCAAGAAGCAAAUAUUUAUCCUGCAUCCUAGGUGCAAUCUGUACACAAAAUGACUCCAAAUUAAGUAAAAUCGAUAUUAACUACU
This is a long non-coding RNA of Oxyura jamaicensis (ruddy duck), 2788 nucleotides long. RefSeq lists it as uncharacterized. Lineage: Eukaryota; Metazoa; Chordata; Aves; Anseriformes; Anatidae. The transcript is spliced from 4 exons. The record is from RefSeq and is a predicted model, not a curated record.